RNAcentral lists this long non-coding RNA (3342 nucleotides) under Sus scrofa (pig). Its description in RNAcentral is "lncRNA (ENSSSCG00045026220.1)". The record is from RNAcentral. Lineage: Eukaryota; Metazoa; Chordata; Mammalia; Artiodactyla; Suidae.
GCCUCGCUCAGUGGGUUAAGGAUCCGGCGUUACCAUGAGCUGUGGUGUAGGUCACAGACGUGGCUCAGAUUCCGUGUUGCUGUGGCUGUGGUAUAGGCUGGUGGCUACAGCUCCGAUUGGACUCCUAGCCUGGGAACCUCCAUAUGCCAGGAGUGGGGCCCUAAAAAGCAAAAAAAAAAAAAAAGAUUCAUUAUAUGGUUGCAUGUAGCAGUAGUUCUUUUUUACUGUGUGAAUGCACUGGAAUUUAUUUAUUCAGGAUCGAACCUGCAUCCUCAUGGAUACGAGUCAGAUUCGUUUCCACUGAGCCACAACGGGAACUCCGUUGUUCAUCUUCUUGUCUCCAGAACUUAGCAUGAUGCCUGGAUUAGUUUGUAUCUGUCUAAAAUGGGUUUAUGUCUCGUCUAGAUGGUCUGGGCCCCCAGAUCGUCAAAGGUCUUCUUCCCCUGUUGAGAGGCACAGGAUUGAACAGAUGUGGUGUCCUGAGCCGUCCGUUAGUCAUAGAUAACACAAAGGAAGUUAAGCUGCUGCUUUCCAUUGUAACCUUAUUUUUUGUUGCCUUGGCCUGGUUUGUUUUAGAUCUUGUUCCUGCCAUACCCUCAUAAUUUGAAAGAUUGGAUAAAACAGCUAAAUCUGACUCCUACUCCUGUGCCUUUUUAAAAUGCUUUUUCAAGGCAGCUAAGCAUCUUUCAGACGAUGCAUUGACACGUGAGAGACGGGUCUGUGACGUUUCGGCUGAAUACGCACCAUUGACAGCUGGCAUUUCCACCCACUGCACCCUCUCCAAAAAUCUGGACAGAACACAGGCCACCAGUCUCGGAGCUGGCGGACAUCCACCUUCCCACCCACUGCUGCUUGUUCCUCGGUCCACUCCGCACGCUUCCUUGGCAGGGCAAGCAGACUUCACACGCAGCUGCCCUCGUCCUCUCAGUUUAUCUGUUUGCCCCCCACUUGGGGGAGUGAAGUGUCAGUUUGCUUUUCCUGAACACCUGUUAGCACCCUAAGGCAUUACAGAUAAAACCUGGAGACCUUUCUGUGGUUGUGCUAAUGGCCUUUCCUUAUGCUCCGUAGAGGAUUUGACUGGAAACCAUCAAAUGCAGUGGAAAUUAUAAUUUCAGUGUUUGGCUGCAGUUGAAACAAAGCAUUGUGCUCUCUAACAGGAAGCCCACGGGAGGAACACGCUAGGGGCCAGAUUUAAGUGAUUCUUAAGUUUGGGUUCUCUAAAAGGUGAAGGUGUGUCUUUUCUAUAAUAACGAUUAACUAAAAAGCCAUUUCCUCUUUUAAUUAAUAAAAGGGGAAGAUGCCGAAUUUCUCCCGGUCCAUAUUUUUAAGGCAUAUGUGCAGUGUAUCGUGUUCUGAGACACCUGACCUUUAAGCCAUCAGACAGAAGGCUGUGUGCCAUAUAGAAAGGAAAUAUUUAGUUUGUCCAGACAGAGGAAGGGGGAAAAGAAAGGAAUUAGUCACCCUUACCAGAAGGUGCAGAGAAAGCAGAGCUCUGUGCCUUCCUACGGUUGAGGCAGAAGAGCCCGUGACAUCUUAGUGAACUUGUUAGGAGGCGAAGGCUACCAGAAACUUCUCCUCUCACUUUCCCUUAUUUUAAGAAUUAAGUUAAAAGGCUGAGAUCAUAGCAGGGAAAUCAUGCUGUGUUCUCAGUUUUGGUAUUUCUUUAAAGUCUUCCUGGGGUUUUGUUACAUGAUAAAUUUAGCAAACAUCAUGUGAUCUAAUCCCAGGCAGUUGUGAAAUGGAACAAAUUGUGGCUCUGCCCUUGGGAUCGGUUUGAUGCUCUUUAUUGAGCCAAAGAUUAGCACAGGCACCUCGGUCCCAGCAGGCUGCCUGGCCUCCCUCUGUAGGGAAUCAGUCCUGAUCGUGGAGACCGAAAAAGGAAGAGACUUGGUGGCAUUUCACCCACGUUGUAUUGACUCCCAAGAGUUUCUUGGUGAGUUACGCAUGUGCUUUUUCUCCCUGCUAGCCGAGCCCUGGAAAUUUCAGCUCAUAUUUCUGCUCCACGUGUAACGGGAUUUAAACAAAAUCAGUCUAGUCUGGACCCACUUUGCCUAAUAUUUGGAAAAUGUACUCCCUUUGAGGAAGGCAGGUAAAAGCAGGCUCACUUUCUCAGAGAACACAUUUGGGGAGGAUGCACCUUUGACUGCUCUGCGUAAAGCAUGGCUUUUGCACAUUGGUCCUUUUGAAGAAUCUGGUUCCAAAUCUAUUCCGGAAAGUUUAAGAGAUCUGGAUAAAUAAAUCAUCUCGGGACUGGGUAGUCUAGAAAUAUCAGCAAUCUCAAAACCCAAAACACCGAAUAAUAAAUUUUCUCUCUUCUUACAGGCCUUCUUUCAAGGCAAAUUGAAAGUCCUUGGCAACAUGGGUCUGGCUAUGAAGUUACAGAAUCUUCAGCUUCAGCCCAGCAAAGCUAAGCUGUGAAGAACUCCCUUUGCCUACCUUUGAAAAUCAAGAUGAGAUAUACAAAUAUAUAGAUGCGUAUAUUUCACUGUCAGAACCUAGACUGAAAAUUCACAUUGGCAAAUAGCAUGAGAUUAGUUUUUAAAUGGGUGUGACCAAUCCUGUUUUUCCUACGGGCUGGGUAAAUAGAACCUGAUGGUAUACUACUGCUUUGCAAAAUUGCCUACAAAUGUGCAUUACAAAGUUAAUGUGGUAAUUAUGGUUUAGGGUACAAUUGAGUUUUAGAAUAAAAUUAGGAACAGCAAAAUCCAAAAACUAUGUAAACAACAGUUCUCAUUUUGCUUAUAAAGUAUGUUUGAGGAUUAUUCUGCUGAAGAGUCAAUUUAAGUUUUCCUUGGGAGGCCGAGGGAAGAGAACGAACACCAGUAGUGGAACAGUAAUUAAUAUUGUGCACUAAUGACCUUCAUCUAUUUUCACUGAGAAUUUUUAAAAUUCUGUACUGGAAUGUUUAAAAAAAAAAACUUUAAAAAUUUGCAUUUCAUGCCAUCUAAACAAUAUUUUCUUCCCAAGUUGAAGACAUAGGAUCAGAGCUAGGGACAUAAAAAAAAUCUGUAGCUGCACACAGGCCUAUUUUUAAAAUAAACAUUUUUUAAAAUGGGUUUCCUUCUUGAAAAAAAAAAAUCAAUGUAUUGGGAUCAUAAAACACUGUUGUGAAAAAUAAUUGAACAAAUAAAAUUUGCUUUGAGAUGCACAGUUUUCAGAUGAUAAUCUCACAUUAAUUAAAUUUGUAAAGCUCUCCUACCUUUGUUAUAAUUUUCCUUUUUAACUAUCCACGUUUAUCUUCCUAGUUUUUCUAAUGCUAAUGCUAUUUCUAAUAAUUCAGUAAGAAUGGGGUAAAAUAAUGUUUGGGGACGAAUAUUUAAUAGAAAAUUAAAAUAACUUUUC